Molecule: long non-coding RNA, 286 nt
Filed under: Gossypium raimondii (Peruvian cotton)
Lineage: Eukaryota; Viridiplantae; Streptophyta; Magnoliopsida; Malvales; Malvaceae
Description: long non-coding RNA (GRAI_LNC001068)
Source: RNAcentral
GAUAGAUUCAAAGUUCUCAUCUCCAUUUAAGAAAAUUAAGCAACCAGAAGAGAGAUUUGUAAAUAAUUACAGCACCAGAAAUGAUUACCUGACACUAAAAUCAAUGAGGAUAGUCCGUUAAUAUGUGCAGCCAUUUCCAAAGUAUUGGAGGCAGCCUGGAAUAUUUGAAUGGCACUUUGAUAUGGAAGAACUCAAACCAGGGAGGCAACUGUAAUAUGUGGUGCCCCUGCCUUCGGAUGUUUAAACAUGAUAUACCAAACAAAGUUUCUCAAACCACACUUUACUC